This 493-nucleotide ribosomal RNA is filed under the name uncultured bacterium. RNAcentral describes it as "bacterial SSU rRNA". It matches the Rfam family "Bacterial small subunit ribosomal RNA", at positions 28 to 507 of the family's 1533-position model. The record is from RNAcentral.
GAUGAACGCUAGCUACAGGCUUAACACAUGCAAGUCGAGGGGAAACGACAUCGAAAGCUUGCUUUUGAUGGGCGUCGACCGGCGCACGGGUGAGUAACGCGUAUCCAACCUUCCGUUAAGUAGGGAAUAGCCUUGCGAAAGUAAGAUUAAUGCCCUAUGUGGUGUUUUGAGGACAUCUGAAGAGCACCAAAGGUUUACCGCUUAACGAUGGGGGAUGCGUCUGAUUAGGUUGUUGGCGGGGCAACGGCCCACCAAGCCUACGAUCAGUAGGGGUUCUGAGAGGAAGGUCCCCCACAUUGGAACUGAGACACGGUCCAAACUCCUACGGGAGGCAGCAGUGAGGAAUAUUGGUCAAUGGGCGAGAGCCUGAACCAGCCAAGUAGCGUGCAGGAUGACGGCCCUAUGGGUUGUAAACUGCUUUUAUAAGGGAAUAAAGUGGGUCACGUGUGACUUUUUGCAUGUACCUUAUGAAUAAGGACCGGCUAAUUCCGUG